Molecule: long non-coding RNA, 4383 nt
Filed under: Prunus persica (peach)
Lineage: Eukaryota; Viridiplantae; Streptophyta; Magnoliopsida; Rosales; Rosaceae
Description: long non-coding RNA (PPER_LNC006722)
Rfam family: U1 spliceosomal RNA (bases 232-392)
Source: RNAcentral
AAAAAAGUGAAAAAUAGAAGGUCACUAGCCUGCUGGAAGGGACACAAGUUGUAAUUAUUAAUUAAAAAAAUACCCUUCAAGACUAUUAGUGAAACCAGGGAACUUGCUUUGCAAUACUACUAGCACACUUAGUAAAAACCAAUAUGCGUGUGCUUGUCCCACAUCGCCCAAGUAAAGGCUGGAGAGUUGAGGUGAGCACGUAUAAAUACAUAAGGACGAGCCUGUGAAAACAUACUUACCUGGACAGGGUCAAUGGGUGAUCAAGAAGGCCCAUGGCCUAGGUUGGUGACCUCCAUUGCACUUAGGAGGGGUGCCUGCCUAUGGUCUCCUCAAGUAGGAGAGCCAAUGUCAUAAUUUGUUGCCGAGGGGGCUUGCGUUCGCGCAGCCCCUACCUAAAUUUCAGUUCAAUAUUGUGGAACAAGCAAUAAUUCUCAUGCCAAUCUUAUACCCAAAUUUAAUUUUCGUUCUCAAGGGGUUGGGUUCUUCCUAGCCAAUUUAACCCAAGCCAAUUGUAAUUUGUGAAGUUCGUCGCUAUAAAGAAUUGCGAGACUUUGGCUCUGGUGUUUGGUUCUUCCUAGCCAAUUAUAAUUUGUAAAGUUUGAUGUAAGUUUCUAUCAAAAGACCUUGGCUUUGACUAAACUUUAAGUUUAGUCACAAUAGUGAGCCCGUCCUUUUGCACUUGAACACAGUUUAGUCACAAUAGUGAGCCCGUCCUUUUGCACUUGAACACUCUGGUGUUGAUACUAAGAGGGGUGAGGCUGGUUAUCCAUUUCCUUUGCAGCUUGGUGAGCAAAUUGUUAUUCUUGCUUUAAAUGGCUGCGCACAGUAAGUAAAGAAACAUCCCCUUUUUCUGGUUUUGAUAAAAUACAAAAUUUAAAUAAAAAAAAAGGACAACUUAAGCAGUUGAUGAACUGAGUUCAGCUAGCUUCACUUGCUCAAGCACCAUCCUUCAUUUCUUUUAGAAAUUUCAUGUUUUGAAAUCUUGCUUUUUUGUCUCUCUGGAAUAUCAUAGUUAGAGGCUUAGAACCUAAUACUAGGCAAGCGAUGCAAGUAUUGGUUUUGCAGGUUUAAAAUUGGGAACAAAGCUAAAAAGUUAAGGCUGCAGCAUCAAUCUCUAGCUCUUCAUUUUCAACAAAUGUGAUGAAGCACAAGGACCAUAAAAUAAUGGGGUAGUGAAUUAGGGAGUGCCAGAAAUCUUUGGUUGGGUCGGCUGCGAUUAAUUUAAGUUUCCAGACUUUGGUUGGGACGAAUGUCCCACAUUGGAAACGUACAGAAGGUGGAGAUAAGUGUUGGGGGAUAAAUACAAAACUAAGGACCACAUUUAAAAUUACAUACCUGGACGGGGUCUAUGGGUGAUCAAAAAGGCCCAUGGCCUAGGUGGGUGGCUUCCAUUGCACUUUGGAGGUGCACUUGCCUAACAUCUCCCUAGAGGAGACUGUACGUCGUAAUUUGUGGUAGUGGGGCUGUGUACGCGCGGCCCUCCUAAAUUCUAUUUUCUAAAUUUUGUUCCUUUCUUUUAUGUCUAUUUCAUCUUGUAUGGGAGUAACUUUGGAUCUCCAAAAAGUGAUUUUAAGUAAAUAUGGCAAUAUUGUACAUGAUAUAUUCAUUAACACGAUAAGAAUUCACAUGAAAAUUUUAGUAUUUGGGUCGAGUUAUCAUGUUGUGUCGACUCGACCCGUUAGCCACAUGUUAACUUAACGACCCGUGUCGUGUAAAUUCGCAAAUAUCUGUUAACCCAUUAAACUUAAGGGCAUUUUUGUAAGUUUAUAUAUAUAUAUAUUUUUCUUUUUUUCUCCUUCUCUUUCUUCUCUUCCUCCCCCAACUCUCCCACUAUCUAUCUCUGUAAGUUUCUUCUCUUUUCAUUAUUUUUCUUUAUUUUCAUCAUAAACCAAACAUAGCUUUCUUUUAUGUUCUUCCCUCUCAUUGUGCCACCCCCUCUCUCCUCCUCCUUCAGCAAACCCUCUCUCACUAGUUGUGUCAUUAAUGGAGGUUUAUGGAUUGGGGAAAGAGGAGAGAAAUAGGAAGAGGGGGGCUACGCAGGGGUUUUGGUUUUGGUUUUUUUCUUCAAUUUUUUUUCUUUUUUAAUUUGUUUAAAUUCUUAAAGGAUGAAACGGGUUGUGUCGUGUCGUGUGAUUCACGAAUUGUAACGGGUCGUGUUUAUGUUUGAUAUUUUUCACUUGUUUUCUUAUCAUGUCGUGUCAUGCGAACUCGUUCAGAAAAGCGUGUUGACGUGAACAUGACACGAACAUUGUAAACACGACACAAAUGCUAUAUCUAAUUUUAAGUAAUUCUAAGAGCAUGUGCUUCUUCAUAAAAGUGAUUAUUGAUCUCUCCCGAAUCACUCCCAAACGAACCCUAAGUUUUUAUACUAAAUUGUAUUCUGUCAAUUUAUUUCACCUUAUAGAAAUUACUUGAUCACAUUUUAGCUAUUAUAUUUUCAUAAAACAUAGAUAUGGCGCAUGCUUUUUAAAAGUUUUUUUUUUUUAAGUGUAACUUUGCUAAUAACAUUUCAUCAUCAUGCACCAUUAUUAUCACCGAUUGAUUAUAUGUUAUUUAUGUCACAUUUUAGUUAUAAUAUUUUCAUAAAAUAUAGUGUGAUUUUGAUUAUGAAUUAUUAUUAUUUUCAAUAAGAACUACGGUCAAACUUUAAUAAAAUGUAAUUAUGCAUGGUAAUUAUUUUCAACCAUGAUGUAAUCAUUGUAAUGUGGCAAAUGACGAAUAAUGAAUGUAGUUGUAAGCCAUUUUCCAAUUCCCUGGUUUAUUUUGUUAAAAUUAAUCAGUGAAAAAGCAAGCUUAUGCUUUGAGUCUAUAUAAACUAUAAAGCUAAUAUUUGAUUAUUUCGAGUUCUGAAUUUGAGGAUAAUUGAGAACGGAACUCAAUAUUUCUAUUGAGUUGAUUGAUUUUGUUAUCAAGAGAGCAAGUAGUAAUGCAGGAGAACUCUGUGUAACUCUAUCAUCCUAUAUUAGAUUUCAUCCUGGUGGUUCAGUUAAGCCCUAAAAGAUCUCAAUGUGGAGAUUAGGGCGGGGUUGAGUCUCAGCUUACAUAUAGGAUAGGAGGGGGUCAAUAUUUGCAAGGAUCCCACAUCGAUAAAAGAACAGUUAAGAGACCAGAGGACGAGCUAUAACUAAGGACUAAGGAGCAACUUUACAACAUACUUACCUGGACGGGGUCAAUGGGUGAUCAGGAAGACUCAUGGCCUAAGUUGGUGACCUCCAUUGCACUUAGGAGGGGUGCUAGCUUGAGGUCUCCCCAAGUGGGAGAGCCUACGUCAUAAUUUAUUGCAAUGGGGGCUUGCGUUCGCGCAGCCCCUGCUCAAAGAUAAUCCAAACUUUUUCAAAUUUCUUUUAAUUGAUUAAAUAGAUUAUUUUCUUCCGAAGUACCUGCCUUGAUUUUGUAAAAUUUCACAACCCUGGAGUUGUAUGUGAAUUUGAUAAUUCUCACUUUUAUUUUGGUUGAAUUCUAUGGAAUUUGAAGGUUUCAUGAAAUUAUACUCUGAAGACUGCUUUGAUUAUACAGGCAUAUAUAAGCAGAGAGAGCAUAGCAACUAUGAAUUCUGGAGAAAAGACAGCAACUAUGAAUUCUGGAGAAAACAGACAGCAACUAAGAAAUCUGGUUUGAAGAUUUAUGGUCUUAAGAACAAUUUACACCAUAAAAACCAAACCUUUAUGUGUGGUGUUCGAACCAUGCGUUUUCUCACCUUUGAGUAAGAUAUACUUUGCCAAAAAAGGAAGGAAAACUUAACAGACUUAUUAUAUAUUGGGUCGAAGAAUAUUGUCUCUGUUUGAUCGAUACUCAGUGCCAGAGCAAUAAGAAACACGGAGCAGUGCCCAUGUAUUUUGGAACAUAGGAAACCACGGUAAUUUUAACUUGGUUGUCCCACAUCGAAGAACAAGAGAAACAAAUGGCAUGCGCGUACUAUAAAAUAGGAAGAGGUGGUGCCUUUAAAACAUACUUACCUGGACGGGGUCAAUGGGCGAUCAAGAAGGCUCAUGGCCUAGGUUGGUGGCCUCCAUUGCACUUAGGAGGGGUGCCUGCCUAUGGUCUCCUCACUGUAGGAGAGCCAACGUCAUAAUUUGUUGCGGUGGGGGCCUGCGUCCGCGCGGCCCCUGUCAAUUCUAUAAACAAACUUUCUUGUGAGUUUUCAACGUAAAAGGCCCAUUAGCUAAUUAUUCAAAAAAAAAAAAAAGUAGGUCUCACAUUAUUAUUGACUAUAAAUAAAGGGGGCUAAACCCAAAAAAUAUUGAGUCCAAACUUGCAUUAGUUUCUGCUAUUAUAUUUACCUCGUUUCUGAUUUAUUUUUGCUGCUGCUGCUCCUGAAUCCCACAAACUAAUUGCUGCUGUUAAGGCAAAUUAUUGAGGUUAAAUGCGUUUAUGAUGUCAGCG